GACGAACGCUGGCGGCGUGCUUAACACAUGCAAGUCGAACGGUAAGGCCCUUCGGGGUACACGAGUGGCGAACGGGUGAGUAACACGUGGGUGAUCUGCCCUGCACUUCGGGAUAAGCCUGGGAAACUGGGUCUAAUACCGGAUAGGACCACUGCCUGCAUGGGUGGUGGUGGAAAGCUUUUGCGGUGUGGGAUGGGCCCGCGGCCUAUCAGCUUGUUGGUGGGGUGAUGGCCUACCAAGGCGACGACGGGUAGCCGGCCUGAGAGGGUGGCCGGCCACACUGGGACUGAGAUACGGCCCAGACUCCUACGGGAGGCAGCAGUGGGGAAUAUUGCACAAUGGGCACAAGCCUGAUGCAGCGACGCCGCGUGAGGGAUGACGGCCUUCGGGUUGUAAACCUCUUUCAGCACCGACGAAGCGCAAGUGACGGUAGGUGCAGAAGAAGGACCGGCCAACUAUGUGCCAGCCGCCGCAGUAA
This 478-nucleotide ribosomal RNA is filed under the name uncultured bacterium. Its description in RNAcentral is "partial 16S ribosomal RNA". It matches the Rfam family "Bacterial small subunit ribosomal RNA", at positions 28 to 523 of the family's 1533-position model. The record is from RNAcentral.